This 370-nucleotide ribosomal RNA is filed under the name uncultured bacterium. RNAcentral describes it as "bacterial SSU rRNA". It matches the Rfam family "Bacterial small subunit ribosomal RNA", at positions 527 to 896 of the family's 1533-position model. The record is from RNAcentral.
GGAGGGUGCAAGCGUUAAUCGGAAUUACUGGGCGUAAAGCGCACGCAGGCGGUUGGAUAAGUUAGAUGUGAAAGCCCCGGGCUCAACCUGGGAAUUGCAUUUAAGACUGUCCAGCUAGAGUCUUGUAGAGGGGGGUAGAAUUCCAGGUGUAGCGGUGAAAUGCGUAGAGAUCUGGAGGAAUACCGGUGGCGAAGGCGGCCCCCUGGACAAAGACUGACGCUCAGGUGCGAAAGCGUGGGGAGCAAACAGGAUUAGAUACCCUGGUAGUCCACGCCGUAAACGAUGUCGAUUUGGAGGCUGUGUCCUUGAGACGUGGCUUCCGGAGCUAACGCGUUAAAUCGACCGCCUGGGGAGUACGGCCGCAAGGUUA